GAUGAACGCUGGCGGCGUGCCUAAUACAUGCAAGUCGAACGAAACUUCUUUAUCACCGAGUGCUUGCACUCACCGAUAAAGAGUUGAGUGGCGAACGGGUGAGUAACACGUGGGCAACCUGCCCAAAAGAGGGGGAUAACACUUGGAAACAGGUGCUAAUACCGCAUAACCAUAGUUACCGCAUGGUAACUAUGUAAAAGGUGGCUAUACUACCGCUUUUGGAUGGGCCCGCGGCGCAUUAGCUAGUUGGUAGGGUAAAGGCUUACCAAGGCAAUGAUGCGUAGCCGAAUUGAGAGGUUGAUCGGCCACAUUGGGACUGAGACACGGCCCAAACUCCUAAGGGAGGCAGCAGUAGGGAAUCUUCCACAAUGGGCGAAAGCCUGAUGGAGCAACGCCGCGUGGGUGAAGAAGGUCUUCGGAUCGUAAAACCCUGUUGUUAGAGAAGAAAGUGCGUGAGAGUAACUGUUCACGUUUCGACGGUAUCUAACCAGAAAGCCACGGCUAACUACGUG
Molecule: ribosomal RNA, 512 nt
Filed under: uncultured bacterium
Lineage: Bacteria
Description: partial 16S ribosomal RNA
Rfam family: Bacterial small subunit ribosomal RNA
Source: RNAcentral